This 301-nucleotide ribosomal RNA is filed under the name uncultured bacterium. Its description in RNAcentral is "partial 16S ribosomal RNA". It matches the Rfam family "Bacterial small subunit ribosomal RNA", at positions 509 to 809 of the family's 1533-position model. The record is from RNAcentral.
CAGUCGCCGCGGGAAUACGUAGGGUGCAAGCGUUAAUCGGAAUUACUGGGCGUAAAGCGUGCGCAGGCGGUUUGUUAAGACAGAUGUGAAAUCCCCGGGCUCAACCUGGGAACUGCAUUUGUGACUGGCAAGCUAGAGUCUGGCAGAGGGGGGUGGAAUUCCGCGUGUAGCAGUGAAAUGCGUAGAUAUGCGGAGGAACACCGAUGGCGAAGGCAGCCCCCUGGGCCAACACUGACGCUCAUGCACGAAAGCGUGGGGAGCAAACAGGAUUAGAUACCCCCGUAGUCCCUGUCUCUUAUAA